Molecule: long non-coding RNA, 436 nt
Organism: Oncorhynchus tshawytscha (Chinook salmon)
Lineage: Eukaryota; Metazoa; Chordata; Actinopteri; Salmoniformes; Salmonidae
Source: Ensembl
CCUGUAUUCCCAGUCAUGUGAAAUCCAUAGAUUAAGGCCUCAUAUGAAUUGUAACUCAGUAAAAUCAAUGAAAUUGUUGCAUGUUGUGUUUUAUAUUUUUGUUCAGAAUGUCAGUUGGAGAUUUUGAGUGCAGUAUUUGGUCAUUUACAUGCAUAUGUUUAUACGUGUAUUUUGUUUAAUACAGUAUACGAGGAGAUCUAUAUGUCAGGGUGAGAGGUGAUGGUGUGUGUAUAGAGUACAUCUAUAUGUCAGGGUGAGAGGUGAUGGUGUGUAUAUGUAGAGUAGAUCUAUAUGUCAGGGUGAGAGGUCGCCAGACAGACGCACGGACCGACAAACAGGGCUGACAGACAUCAGCCUCUGAAAGCCCUCGCGGGUCUAGCCUGCGACCCCUCUCACUCAUUACGUGCUCUGUGACCCUCCUGCGGGGAGGUUGCCC